This is a small nuclear RNA of Nymphaea colorata (pocket water lily), 101 nucleotides long. The record is from RefSeq and is a predicted model, not a curated record. NCBI's taxonomy places the organism in Eukaryota, Viridiplantae, Streptophyta, Magnoliopsida, Nymphaeales, Nymphaeaceae.
AUCUUUUAGGAGACAUCCAUAAAUUGGAAUGAUACAGAGAAGAUUAGCAUGGACCCUGCACAAGGAAAACACACAAAUCGAGAAAAAAGGUGGGUAAGCAA